UGGCGGACGGGUGAGUAACGCGUGGGUAACCUGCCUUACACAGGGGGAUAACACUUAGAAAUAGGUGCUAAUACCGCAUGAGCGCACAGGACCGCAUGGUCGAGUGUGAAAAACUGAGGUGGUGUAAGAUGGACCCGCGUCUGAUUAGCUAGUUGGUGAGGUAACGGCCCACCAAGGCGACGAUCAGUAGCCGGCCUGAGAGGGUGGACGGCCACAUUGGGACUGAGACACGGCCCAAACUCCUACGGGAGGCAGCAG
RNAcentral lists this ribosomal RNA (258 nucleotides) under uncultured bacterium. RNAcentral's name for it is "partial 16S ribosomal RNA". It matches the Rfam family "Bacterial small subunit ribosomal RNA", at positions 96 to 354 of the family's 1533-position model. The record is from RNAcentral.